GACGAACGCUGGCGGCGUGCUUAACACAUGCAAGUCGAGCGGGAUCCAACCGGUGGCAACACCGGGGAAGAUCUAGCGGCGAACGGGUGAGUAACACGUGAGCAACCUGCCCCGAAGACUGGGAUAACACCGGGAAACCGGUGCUAAUACCGGAUGUCGUCAUUAGGCCGCAUGACCUGAUGAUGAAAGGAUUCAUCGCUUCGGGAGGGGCUCGCGGGCUAUCAGCUUGNGGUGGGGUAACGGCCUACCAAGGCGACGACGGCUAGCUGGUCUGAGAGGACGACCAGCCACACUGGGACUGAGACACGGCCCAGACUCCUACGGGAGGCAGCAGUGGGGAAUCUUGCGCAAUGGGCGAAAGCCUGACGCAGCAACGCCG
RNAcentral lists this ribosomal RNA (379 nucleotides) under uncultured bacterium. RNAcentral describes it as "bacterial SSU rRNA". It matches the Rfam family "Bacterial small subunit ribosomal RNA", at positions 28 to 399 of the family's 1533-position model. The record is from RNAcentral.